ACACUUUAAUACGCCUUUUCACUCUUUCAUGUGAUGUGUGUGUAACAAACAAAGGCUCCUUCACUAAAACUACUACUACUUACUAAUUCUAGGCUCCUUCCCUCAAACUUUUGAAAUCCCUAUUUUUCAGAUCUCAGAUCCAUUUUCUUCACAAACUUGGGUCCUCACCACAUUUCCUACCUACCUAAUCCAAAAUCACUUAAUUCUUCAAGCUAAUCAUUUUUCACCAAAAGUAAAACCUUUUCUUGCAAUCAUUGUAUCAUGAAUUUUUGACAACUAAAAAGCUUUUUUUUCUCCUAAUUAUUAGACACACUGUACAACUUUAAAAGAG
Molecule: long non-coding RNA, 331 nt
Filed under: Trifolium pratense (red clover)
Lineage: Eukaryota; Viridiplantae; Streptophyta; Magnoliopsida; Fabales; Fabaceae
Description: long non-coding RNA (TPRA_LNC003650)
Source: RNAcentral